UUGUCUCUGCAGGGAGAAACAGGAACAACCACAACCUCAUCUGACCCGUUCACUUUCAUUUCACUCCCUCCCUCCUUUAUCCCCCCGAUCUUAUUCUUCUCCUCUUCAAACUUUCGAGAAACUCCUCUCGUUUCUCGGCCACCACCUCAAGCAUUCACCCUCCUCCCCCUCCUCUUCCCCUCCAUCACCCUGACUCCUUUGUCCCCUCGCCUCCCACUCUGGAACGUUGAUUACAUUACACCUUCUGUAAAGCUACAUCUGGAGUCAACGCAUCAGCCAGAAUCUGUAGAAAUGGAGCUGGUACAAAAAAAAAGAAAAUGGUAUUCAAAACUGUUUUUACUUGUAAGGAAGGAGGGAAGGAAGAGAGAAGGAAAGGAAGGAAGAUUUCUACGACAGAAAACAAAAAGUUUAUAAAACAAAUCAACUAUUUCCAGGGAUUCCAAGAAAACAUACCCUCAUUUUCGCAGGAUAACAAGCUCUUUUUGUCAGGAAAACUACACCACAGAAGAAGCCAUAACCAAUAAAAAUGUGCAAAAACACAAAUUAUUCGAAUGCUAGUCUUAGAUUGAUUAGCCUUACUUUCCAAAAGCAAAAUUUGGCAUCUAUAAAGGCCACCCAACAUGGAGAGGGAUCAUUCCAAGGAGUUUUAGUUAAAAUGUAAGAGCCCCAGGGAUGGAUAAAAAAAACGAGACAAAAAGGGCGAAAAGUUCAUUUGACACCAGAAAAAAAUAUAUAUAUAUUUUUUCAACAUUGUUUAAGUCAGCUUUCCUAAGUAUUUUGAGAGUUAAAGCAGAAUUUUUGUGUGUGUAAGAUCCCUAGAACUUUGUCAAAAUAACCCUGUCUUUGAGGGAAAAUCAUGAAAUUGUUAAAAACUUAAAUAUUUUUGAAAAAGAUUAACAUAAAAACAUGUUGGUAAAUAUAUUCAAAUUGAUACAAUACAAUGCAGCACUAUAAUGAUGUGUUAUUAGAUAAGAUAAUAUGGUACAAUAUGAUAUGUUAUAAUACCAUAUGAUUUGAUAGGAUACGAUAAGACAUGAUAUAACUUGAUCAAUAAGAUAAAAUAUGAUGCGUUAAGAUUCUGUACUUUUUUGUCUUAGACCUCAUUAGUGUGAAUAUGUGUCAGAUGAACACCCAAAAAGAUUUGAAAAAUAGAGCAGAGGACACAAGGAAUGACCAUGAUGAGUAUUGAAAAAGCACAAAGGAUUUAUCAGAUUUAAGAUUUUAGAUUGUCAGAGAAUCCCCCCAACUCAAUUGCAUCUCUCCAAGUUGGUAAUAGUCUUUUUCACCCAUACUAUUUGAUACAUUUUUCAUUUUUAACAACAUGAAACGUUCAAAGAACUCUGCAGAGUUUAUGAAUGUGUAUCUGUUCAAUAGUUUAACAUUGAUAAGUUUAAAGUUUCAGGGCAGAAAGUCUGAGUUUAGAAAAGUUCCUGCUGUGUUUGAAAAGCUCUUUCCCCUCAUGUGCCCCUUUUGCCAUUAUUAUUCCCCACUAAGCCUACCUCCAAUCAGUGCCUGACAGAACGUAACCGUGGAGAUGGAGUUUGUGGCGUGCAUGGAGAUGGAGAGGACUCCAUCGCCACAGUAACGGCAGUAGAGCUCCCAAACCUCCGAAUCCAUCUCUGAGGUCACUGUUCGCCGCUCUCAUCUCACCAGUGUGUGUGUGUGUAUGUGUGUGUGUCUUUGCACGGUUGUUACCACAAUCCCACUGAGGUUUUAGAUUUGACUAUAUUUCAGCUUGUUUGAAGUCCUCAGUGAAACCUUUUCAACCAAACCUCAUUCAAAAUUCACUUUUAUGUAUGCUCACGUGACUCAAUGAGGGUGCACUUUUGAGGGUUUUUUCUCCACUUUUUAAAGUCUGUGCUGUAAGAUUUUGCUGAUUUUCACGUUACAACAACACAAAAACAGUAAGUUAUCUGAAUUUUAAGAUGACAAGUGGACAGAAAUUAGGACAAAAGAGUAGACUAUAGAAACCUAACUUUGAGCUGGUUGGUUAGUCGGUAUGUUGUCCAUCUCACUAAACGUCUGUCUGUGUGUCGGUCACACUGACCCACAUGUUCAGGUCUACAUACAUUGCUGCUUUUGUUCCACUUGGCCGGCUGUCUGGCUGACUGUUGGCUGACUGCUGGAGCCCCACAACCGGUUAAUCUAAGGAUUACUGUCAGGACAGUACAGCCAUCCAACGGCCCUCUCCUGGGGAGCAGGAAUCUGUGUGUGUGUGUGUAUGUGUGUGUGUGUGUGUGUGUGUGUGUGUGUGUGUGUGUGUGUGUGUGUGUGUGUGUGUGUGUCUGUGUGUGUGUGUGUGUGUGUGUGUGUGUGUACCAUUACCCCUCAAGCAUCCAGUUUGUCUAAUCCUUUCCAACAUCCUCCAGUUUGAAGACACAGUCCCUCUCAGCAGUUGUAUAAUCAACACUUGACUUUGUUUAAUUGUUUCAGUUUGUCUUAAGCUGUUUCCUGCUGGUAUCAGGAGGCAUCAAAUGAUCCGACCAACUUCUUAUAAGUUGGAUCGUCAUGCCUAAAAGUUGCAGUUGAAGUUAAUUCCCUUUAAGCUUGAAACCAGGUAUUUCCCACUUUGCUAAUUAGGAUCUCUCAUCAGACUUUUCUGAUAAGAUGGAGGCUCGUCACUCAACGUUUUUUGCUGUGCAAGACUUAGAGGACAUCAGUUCAGAUCAUUUAAAACCAGUUAACAGCAAUUCAGAGGGAGGCGUGUUGGCAGCAAUUGCUUUUCCAUUUGAGGGUCAGGGGUGGCACAGCCCUCCCUUGAAAUCUGAUUGGACAGCCUAAGUUGGAGCACCUGUCUGCAGACACAGCAUGGCCCUAAAAGCAUGGGUUUAGUUGAAAGUUGGGCCUCUGCUUGGUUUUCAGCUGUUUUCAGGAAAUUAAGCGAUCUCACGAGCGAAAGUUGAUCUUCUUCGUCAUUCCCACAAAUUUUCGAGACUUUCAGGUUGUAAUAUCCUGUAGAUUCUUGAGUUGAUAUGAUGAGUGAUAUGAUGAGGGCAGUGACAAGAAUAUGAACAAAUGACUGAAAGUCUGAUAGCCUCUUGCUAAUGUGUUUGUUGAUUGUUUAGGUACAUAAAGUCAUAGAAGUGGCCCAAUAGUAAUGAACUAAAAGGAGAUCUCUGCAGUGGCGUAGACGGACACAUUUCUGUCUGUAAAUCGACUCACCUGGUGCUGGGACAAAUACAGCAAUCCAGAUAAACCGCCUAAUCAAGCUUUAACCGAAGCUCAAAUGAACCGUGCCUAUAAACCUCCUCCUGUAGUAUUGUGUUCCUGUUAAGUGUUGUUCUUCACUGACUUCGGUUCAUCUUGUUACUUUUUCAGAUAAGCAGCUAAAACCUUAACCUUAAGAGCUGUGAAUUAACCUCAUGGUCGUGUUUACCUGAAGAUUAAAGCUUCAGUUUGGACCUCAUGUGGGGGAGAAACUAAACUAGAAUAAUAAGAGAUGGAAGUACUGCCAUAGCGUGAUAAUAAACACAAGAUGAUGACUGCUGUGGAGGAAGAUAGAGAAGUGGGAGAGGUAGGAGACAAGGGUUGAGCAAAAGAGGGUGAAGUGGUAGGAGAAGAUGGGAAAGAAGAAGAAUACUGAAUCAGAAGAGUAUCUCUUUACGUUUCUAACACCUGGACUUAAGGUUUUUGGUUGUUACAUUCCUGCUGACCCCACCAGGAGUGUCUUUACCUCAUGCGCAGGGUCAGCAGUGGGCUCCGACCGAAGGUGACCUCCUCCUUCUGGACCUCAGCUAAUCCUUUUUGUGUAAAACAGUCCUCAUGUUGUCUGGCUGUGAUUAGUGCUGGUUUGUUGCUCAGUUACCUCCAUGUUUACGUCCCUUACCCUGAAAUCUCUUACCCUGCAGUUCCAGGAUACUGCUGCAGGUUCAUGUCGGGUUCUUUAGACUUUGCUGCUGGUAGUCUAUCAUAGAAAUUCAGUGCUGCGCUCAUAUAUUAAUAAAGAGUCCUCCCUUCACCCUCAUCAUAUGUGACCAUCACUCACUAAUCUGAUCUCAUUAAGAGAUCUAUCAGGGUAAAGAAAGAGUUCAAUCCGUCCUCUUUGUUCAUUAUUAAGUAAGGCGGGUUAGUAUAAAAACAAAACCCUCAACAUCAACUUUUAUCACUCUGGUUUAAAAAGUAUAAGUGAAGUCUAAAGCUAAAUACAGAAAAUUAUGUGUAUCAUCAGCUCCAUUUUAAAAAGUUUUGUUCAUUUAAAGGUACAAAAAGUAAAAAAAUGUGUAUACAUACUGUAUAUACAUUAGCAGGAAAAACGGACAUGAAGAGCUAUUUCUGCAGAAAAGUACCGACAUUCAGGGUUAAAAUUAAGGAUAUUAUAGACGUUGGGAGCUGGAUUAAUGGAGGUAUGGACAUUUUGGACUAAAUUUAGAACAGAUACCAACAUUUAAGACUAAAUUCAGGGAAGACUAUGGACAAUUAAAGACUAAUGUGAGGAAAGAAUUGACAUUCACUAGCAGGUAUAAAUAUUGACAUUUAAAGCAAGAUUUAUUGGAAAUCCAGAGCUAAAGUUAGAGAAAUGUAGAUUACACAUAAACUAAGGAAAAAAUAGAUGACAAAUUAAAGCUCAAUUUGAAAAAAUCUUAAAGCUUAAUUUAUCGUAAACUUUAGAAAUGAAGUUCUGAGUUUAGCAAAAAUGUGGCCAUUUAGAAUCACAUUUUGGAAGUCUAUUGACAAAAUUGUAGGUAAAGUAUGUACUUGAAGGUUGCUGUUAUGAAAGAAAGUCCAUUUUUAGGGUUUCAUUUACAGAAAACUUCAAUAUUUAGAGUAAAAUUUACAUUGAAUAUGGAUAUUUAGGGCUAUAUUUACAUGAAAUGAGGAUAUUUAGGGUUUUAUUUAAAGAAUAUGUUGACAUUCACUACUAUUUACACUACUACAUACACUACAAUAGCUAAAGUGAUGUCUGAUGCUAGAUUAAGCAAAACUUGAGGAAUUUAUGGCUGAGAUUUGGUGCAAAAUGAAUACGGAAGUCCCAAUAAUGUAGCAUCUUCACAAGAAAUACAGCAGAGUACUUUACAGUUAGGAGAAAAUCACCCAUGACAACAGAAUUAAACAUUAAAACAAGCAUUAAAUGCCAUAACUGUGAUGUAAAACGUUUUACUCUGCUGAUAAUGAUAACACAAAUGACUUUUAAUCAGAUUUCAAAUAGACUGUAAAACAUCAGAAAAACUGUGCAGUAGUCGUUUUUUUUUUUUUUUUCUUUUUUACAAAGUUUGUUGUUGUUUCUCAUAAAUCUUACUCUUCCCUAAAGUAAAAAAAAUACUGUAAAACACUGUUUAGGAGCCGCUAAACAGAAAGUUCCUUUCAUUGGUGAGCUCCCCGUGUGAUAUUCUCUCACACCCAAAUCUCACAGAGUCGAUAAUGGAGGCAGAGACGGAGACGGAGGGCUGGGGGGUCCCUUUAGUCUCAUGCUUCAGUAGUAAUUUGUCAGCGGGCAUGAAUGGACUCCUUCAUCAGUGAGUGGAGACAGCAACAAGCACACACAGACCGUGUGUGUGUGUGUGUGUGUGUGUGUGUGUGUGUGUGUGUGUGUGUGUGUGUGUGUGUGUGUUUCUGUGCGCACGCACAGACUCUCAGACUGGAGUCUUGCUCUAAAGCCUCUCCACUCCUUUGUAUGGGCCCACCGUAUGCAGUUCCCCUGACAGCCAAUCAGAAUCCAGGGAGCUCAUUACUUCACUGUCUGAUAGAGGCUGUGCCAAGUUGGACCAGAAUUCACCAAAAAAAAAAACGCUAAUUUAAGGCUAGAAAGAGAGCAGGACAAAAAAGGGGGAAAAUGGCAAUCUCUUCAGAGCUGAAAAUAGUCUCAGAGUCCAAAAUGAAAAGAUUUACAGUUUCUUGUUGGUCUGGACUGCCGCAGUUUCAAGCAUUUUCUCUUGGUACCAGAUUGCAAUCCAGUAUUUACGAUGACAACAAAGAGCACACUAGUUCAGCAUAUUUGUAAACAAACCGACAGAAGGUCUGUUAUGGCGUAAGUAAGGAGUUGCAGUCAUCAGUGUGUGAUAUUACAGUCAUUGCAGUACCAUCAGAAAUAAUAGGGGGCAGUGUUGAGCCAUGUGGCUGACUGUUCAUGUCAGAGUUGAUUUUGUGCCUUUUGACACAGACUCAAACUAAAACAGUCACCACAAAAGGUCAAACAGUCAUAAUCUUCAAGGUGCAUGACUGACUAACAACCCUCUCUGCUGUCGAGGAAAGUCAGCGCAGUUUAGCAUCUGCACCAGUGUUUUUAAGUGUGUGUGAGUUCGUGUGUGUGUGUGUGUGUGUAUUCACUCUGAGUGAGCUGGAAAGAGGCCAGCCAUUGACGUAGCGGCUGCACGGUUGAGUCUCCUCUUCCAAUUAAAAACAUUCACCCAGAAACGGGACUUGUACAUUUCCCACUGGAGUAAAGCUUUUGUCCGAGGACACAAAGCUCUGAUUAUUGUGCUGCUGCUGAAUUUAUGAAUGGACACAAAAGAUGGCAGCCAUUGGGGGGGAAAAAAGUGUCAUUAUGUAGAGGAAUGUGUUUGUGUGUCUGACAGGUGUUUGAAAGAUUUGUGAUUAAAGUUUCUAAAUUGAAGUUCUGCGGAAACACAUUUUUUUAUAUAAAGCACGCUGAGUAUUUUUCUUGUUGGUGAGCCGAUGAAAUGUCAGAUAUGUCCUUGACUGUCGUUUACUUUGAUGCACAACAUAGUGAACUCGCUGCAUCUACUGGAUCUGGCUAAUAAAAUGCAGUCUAACUUUUAGAUUUUCCUGUGUCAGGCAUGAUCAGUAUCAGUCUAUCCUGUCCUGAAAUCCCUUGCUUCCUCACUUUUACCUCUUUAUUCCUUCCUUUCUACACAGGCCUUUCAAACUGCAAAGACUAGUCAUCAUUCCCUGAGGAUAUCCAGGUUAAUCUGUAAAGUCUUAAUCUCUCUCUUCUGUCCUCCGUCCAUUCUCCACUCCAUCCACUCAGGAUCAUCCAGACCACCGCCCCAUUCAUCCCCCCCGCCCUCAUCUUCACCCCGUCUGCUGUGCUUGCAGGGUCACUAGGUUUGCCCUCACAGUACAGGCAGAGAGGGGUCGAGGGGCGUGGCCUGUGGACGACUGACUUUGAUCACUAUGGGGUUACAGCCCCUUUUAUUCCACCUGAUCAGCACUGUACUGACCCCGUGGUCCCACCCCCAGCAGAGACACUAAUGCAUCAGGGGGGCUCAGAGGAGGAGUCGUGUCUAAUUUUUUCUUUUAGCUUUUAAUUCCUUUUCUCGAAAAACACAGGAGGGUACCGUUUAGAUGGUCUUCUUUUUUUUACCUGUUCUUUGAUAUAGUAACAUUUUACAGGCUAGUUAACAUAGAAACAGCAAAGUCAUACAUGAGUAUUGACUAGAAAUAACCCCUAAACUCAAAAGUUUACAGGAUCCUUAUAGAAACACAUAUUUACUGUGAUAUUAGCGAGAGAUGUACAUUUUCUAUAAACCCAUUAUCAC
RNAcentral lists this long non-coding RNA (7436 nucleotides) under Xyrichtys novacula (pearly razorfish). The record is from RNAcentral. Lineage: Eukaryota; Metazoa; Chordata; Actinopteri; Labriformes; Labridae.